GAUGAACGCUGGCGGCAGGCCUAACACAUGCAAGUCGAACGAACCUUUCGGGGUUAGUGGCGGACGGGUGAGUAACACGUGGGAACGUGCCUUUAGGUUCGGAAUAACUCAGGGAAACUUGUGCUAAUACCGAAUGUGCCCUUCGGGGGAAAGAUUAAUCGCCUUUAGAGCGGCCCGCGUCUGAUUAGCUAGUUGGUUGAGGUAAUGGCUCACCAAGGCGACGAUCAGUAGCUGGUCUGAGAGGAUGAUCAGCCACAUUGGGACUGAGACACGGCCCAAACUCCUACGGGAGGCAGCAGUGGGGAAUCUUGCGCAAUGGGCGAAAGCCUGACGCAGCCAUGCCGCGUGAAUGAUGAAGGUCUUAGGAUUGUAAAAUUCUUUCACCGGGGACGAUAAUGACGGUACCCGGAGAAGAAGCCCCGGCUAACUUCGUG
RNAcentral lists this ribosomal RNA (434 nucleotides) under uncultured bacterium. RNAcentral's name for it is "partial 16S ribosomal RNA". It matches the Rfam family "Bacterial small subunit ribosomal RNA", at positions 28 to 507 of the family's 1533-position model. The record is from RNAcentral.